GACUCUGUAGCUCAGUUGGUUAGACAGCUGCACCAGAAUUGCAGGGCCGCAGGUUUGAUUCCUGCUAGGAACC
RNAcentral lists this transfer RNA (73 nucleotides) under Paramuricea clavata. RNAcentral's name for it is "tRNA-Ser". Lineage: Eukaryota; Metazoa; Cnidaria; Anthozoa; Malacalcyonacea; Plexauridae. The record is from RNAcentral.